AGUGAACGCUGGCGGUAUGCCUAACACAUGCAAGUCGAACGGCAGCACAGUAAGAUCUUUCUCUUACGGUUGGCGAGUGGCGGACGGGUGAGACAUACAUCGGAAUCUACUUUUUCUUGGGUGAUAACGGGGGACAACUUACGCUAAUACCUCAUACGACCUACGGCUGAAAUCAGUAGAUCUUCACACCUUUCGCGUUUCAUUGAGACGAUGUCGGAUUAGCUAGUUGGCGUGGUAAAGUCCCACCAAGGCGACGAUCCGUAGCUGGUCUGAGAGGAUGAUCAGCCACACUGGAACUGAGACACGGUCCAGACUCCUACGGGAGGCAGCAGUGGGGAAUAUUCGACAAUGGGCGAAAGCCUGAUCGAGCAAUGCCGCGUGAGUGAAGAAGGUCUUCGGGUUGUAAAGCCCUGUUGUUGGGAAAGAAAAACAGCAGGUUAAUCUCCCGAUGUUCUGACGGUACCCAAAGAGUAAGCCCCGGCUAACUUCGUG
This 492-nucleotide ribosomal RNA is filed under the name uncultured bacterium. Its description in RNAcentral is "partial 16S ribosomal RNA". It matches the Rfam family "Bacterial small subunit ribosomal RNA", at positions 29 to 507 of the family's 1533-position model. The record is from RNAcentral.